Molecule: unclassified non-coding RNA, 24 nt
Filed under: Mus musculus (house mouse)
Lineage: Eukaryota; Metazoa; Chordata; Mammalia; Rodentia; Muridae
Description: oocyte_clustered_small_RNA7331
Source: RNAcentral
UGCAACAAGCUUGGUCUGUUGUGA